Molecule: long non-coding RNA, 577 nt
Organism: Anguilla anguilla (European eel)
Lineage: Eukaryota; Metazoa; Chordata; Actinopteri; Anguilliformes; Anguillidae
Exons: 2
Source: RefSeq, a predicted model, not a curated record
AUGUGUGUGUGUGUGUGUGUGUGUGUGUGUGUGUGUGUGUGUGUGUGUGUGUGUGUGUGUGUGUGCGGACGUUCCAACUCUGAUCACCAGAUCAGUGAGAGGGCCAAUCAGCCACCCACCAAAGCUUCCAGAAAUCAGGUGUUGUCCACACACAGUCCCCACAAUGCACUCCUCUGCCCUCCCCUGGGACACCUCCUGUAUUCUCAGACACAGUGUUACUACGCAGACACAAGUGGACCAGAACCAAUCAGGAGCUCAGUUCUGCGUGACCCCUGUGACACCAGCCAAUCAGCCGGCUCUCGCUGAACAGCAGCUGACUCCACGCCUGCAUCCACGGGCCCAGAGGGGGAAAAGAAAUGAGAUUAUUACGGACUGUGUUUUGGGCCUUUUUUUCCGGUUUCUUCCACGGCACUUCAGAACUUGCCCGUUCCGCGUUUGCAUUUUGGCUUUGGGGCCAAACCGUGGCUCCUUCGACCUGGACAGUGAAAUCAGUUAUUAGACCUUAAACCCGUUUCCCCAUCCUGAGUUUUUCUGAAAGCGGGUGAAGAUUUGAGAGUGUGUGUGUCCCACCCCCCCC